CAGCCCUGCCCACCCCUUGCUGAUUUCCAUGUGACCAGAGCACAGCCCACUGCCCUGAGCACUUCUUCAUAGACUGCACACACCCUGUGCAGCAGUCAGUGCCUGUCAGCACACAGCAUGGACAUGAGGGCCCCUGCUCAGCUCCUGGGGCUCCUGCUGCUCUGGCUCCCAGGUGCCAGAUGUGACAUCCAGAUGACCCAGACUCCACCCUCCCUGUCUGCAUCUCCAGGAGACACAGUCACCAUCAAUUGCAGGGCCAGUCAGGGCAUUAACAAAUAUUUAGCCUGGUUUCAGCAGAAACCGGGGAAACCUCCUAAGCGGCUGAUCUAUUACACAUACAAUUUGGACUCUGCGUUCCCAUCCAGGUUCAGUGGCAGUGGAUCUGGGACAGAUUAUUCUCUUACCAUCAGCAGCCUGCAGCCUGAAGAUGGGGCAACUUAUUACUGUCUGCAGUAUCAUAAUUACCCUCCCACAGUGAUAAAAGUCAUAACAGAAACCUCCCAAGAAAGCAGAAGUGAGAGGCUAGGCUACCCCAGCUGCUCCUGCAGCCUCUACCUGCUGACAGUGCUUCUCAGAUUCAUCUCUGAGGGUCGCUUGAAAAUUUUGGUAGAAGUGACUGGGAAGAAUUCUCUCUACUCUACCUUUCAGUCAGGAGUAGACAGAGUUUAUGUAUGUCAAUGCCUCUCCUGAUUCAGGAGAGCCUAAAAACUGUGGCAUGG
Dipodomys ordii (Ord's kangaroo rat) is the source of this 719-nucleotide non-coding RNA. Lineage: Eukaryota; Metazoa; Chordata; Mammalia; Rodentia; Heteromyidae. The record is from the annotation of a RefSeq genome assembly.